RNAcentral lists this transfer RNA (71 nucleotides) under Marmota marmota marmota (Alpine marmot). It matches the Rfam family "tRNA". From Rfam's summary of the family: Transfer RNA (tRNA) molecules are approximately 80 nucleotides in length. The record is from Rfam by way of RNAcentral. Lineage: Eukaryota; Metazoa; Chordata; Mammalia; Rodentia; Sciuridae. RNAcentral also lists the same sequence under 1 other name.
GUGGUUGUGGCUCAGUGGUAGAGCGCUUGCCUAGCAUGCGUGAGGCACUGGGUUGGAUCCUCAGCACCACA